AGUGAACGCUGGCGGCGUGCCUAAUACAUGCAAGUCGAACGCGAAAGUCCUUCGGGAUGGGUAAAGUGGCGCACGGGUGAGUAAUACAUGGGAACAUGCCCUUGGAUGGGGAAUAACGUUUGGAAACGAACGCUAAUACCGCAUAAUCUCGCGAGAGUAAAGGUGGCGCCGCAAGGGCUACCGUCCAAGGAUUGGCCCAUGUCCCAUUAGCUAGUUGGCGGGGUAAUGGCCCACCAAGGCAACGAUGGGUAACUGGUCUGAGAGGAUGAUCAGUCACACUGGAACUGAAACACGGUCCAGACUCCUACGGGAGGCAGCAGUAGGGAAUAUUGCACAAUGGGGGAAACCCUGAUGCAGCAACGCCGCGUGAGUGAAGAAGGCCCUUGGGUUGUAAAGCUCUUUAGCGUGGGAAGAAGGUAGAUAUGGUGAAUAAUCAUGUUUGCUGACGGUACCACGAGAAUAAGCACCGGCUAAUUUCGUGCCAGCCGCCGCCGUAA
RNAcentral lists this ribosomal RNA (497 nucleotides) under uncultured bacterium. RNAcentral's name for it is "partial 16S ribosomal RNA". It matches the Rfam family "Bacterial small subunit ribosomal RNA", at positions 29 to 523 of the family's 1533-position model. The record is from RNAcentral.